AAGAAAAGAAAAGAAAAGAAAAGAAAAGAAAAUACUCAGGAAUCACCUCCACCCUUGCCGAGGCAGAGGUGGGACAGGCAUGAGAGGAAGCUUUAUCACAGGAAUGAGCAAAAUGGAACUGAUUUUGAUAAAGGGCAUUGCAAGUACUUAGUUCACAUUAGAACCAUGCAGAUACAGUCUCGUCCCAAUCAAUGUUAUAAAAGUUAGUUCAUAGACCAAGCGGACUUCAAGUGGACUUUAAACCGUAUGUUGAAACCUUCCACUCAACGGGAACAAAUAAGCAGGAGCUCUUCUCUCCUGCACUCAGGUGUUAAAGCUGCUGCUAUUUCUGCCAUCCUUCCACCCCCAUCCUUGCCUACAAAUUAAUGUCCAAAGUUCCUAGCAUGAAUCAAGCCCCCUUCAAGACCCACCCCACUCUCUUUUCCCUAUAUUACCUCUCACCAUGCCUUUGCCUGGUCCCUUAUACAUCACGCAGUCUGUGCUUGGUCUGGUUAUGCCCUUUUAUCCAAAGUCUCUGAAUGGCAACAUCAUAUUCAUCUUUCAGAAUCCAGUUCAAAUUCACUUCCUUCCCUGAGGAGUUCAUGAUUCCUUUUUUGUGUUACAGACACAUUUCAAGCAUCUUCUUUAGCACCUGAUUCGACAAGGGUGUGGGGAGAGCAGUUCUCCCUUGAGCCUAUAGUCAGAUGUAUGUGCACAGAUCUAGAAAACAAUGGUGUGCACCCAGGAAUUGUGCACAUGGGACACUGAGAGGGGUCACUGAGUAGGUCACAAGCCCCAGGAUGACAGGGGAAGGAAGGAUUGGAGUAUAGUGUGGGGUUGGCCUCCUGCCCCUGUCCCCAGCCUCGACCCGUGGAUACAUUUCCAGGUCAUAUUGACUGGGAUUGAGAGUGUGAAUUCUAAAGCUCAGUGCCUGCAUUCAAAUUUUGAUUCUAUUACAUACUAGUUGCCUUGAGUGAGUCAGUUAACCUCUUUAGCUUCAGUGGAGAUGGUAAUAAUAGCAUUCCUGCCUCAUGGUUCUGUCAUGAGAAUUAUACAAGUUAAUGAAUACAAAGCUCCCCAACAGUGCCUGUCACACAAUAAGCAUCAUAUAAUAAGUAUCAGCUAUUAUACUUAGGAAGAGAGACGAGAGUUAAGUAAAAAACUGAAAAUGCUGGAAGGCCUUAGGGCACAUGCAGCACUAACUUGGAACCACUAAGUUGAGGGAAAACACAAAAUAGGUGUUCUUCCCAACUACACCAUUGAUUAGAAGCAGCAGGGCACUUAGAAGUGGGGGCAUCUAAGGGGACUGGAAGCAGAAGGGUUCCGGUGCUUGACAGAGGCAGCUGCUCUCAAAGAGACUGAGUCUCAGCAGAGACAGCAAAGUGACCAUCAGGAGCAGUGGCUGUCACAGUGUGGCCUUUGUGGUACCCAGAGAUGAUGUCACAAGACAUCCAAGAUGUCCAGUAAGUGCAGAGCAUUGUAAGUGACAGAGGAGCCUGGUUGAAGUAGAAGCUACCCAGUAGACGUGGUAACUGUGUCAGCAAGGGCAGUGAUGGUAGCAUAAGAAGGGAAGAUGCAAUCAGGGAAAAUAUUCCAUGAGGAUGCUUUGAUUUUUCUUUACAACACAGCUACUAAAUUAUGUGACGUGCCCAUCGCGCAGGAAGCUUCUCGGAGGCUGUGGAGAGCAGCCUGUCUGCUUUGAGAAGUGCAGAUCUAUCAGGAUCCAGAAUCGCGCUCUGAAAAAGCUGUCAUUUCAUGUCUCUAAAACAGCCUCUGAUUUAAUGUACAAGAUGUCAAGAAGUAAAGGACAAUAAAAUAAAAGCCAAAAAGGAGAACUAUUUCAAUUAAGAGGCAUCUCUAUACCAAUUCUUGGAAAUCACGUAAAAUAAAAACUGUCAGAAUCAA
Molecule: long non-coding RNA, 1884 nt
Organism: Canis lupus familiaris (dog)
Lineage: Eukaryota; Metazoa; Chordata; Mammalia; Carnivora; Canidae
Exons: 3
Source: RefSeq, a predicted model, not a curated record